This 504-nucleotide ribosomal RNA is filed under the name uncultured bacterium. Its description in RNAcentral is "partial 16S ribosomal RNA". It matches the Rfam family "Bacterial small subunit ribosomal RNA", at positions 30 to 523 of the family's 1533-position model. The record is from RNAcentral.
AUUGAACGCUGGCGGCAGGCCUAACACAUGCAAGUCGAACGGUAGCACAGAGAGCUUGCUCUUGGGUGACGAGUGGCGGACGGGUGAGUAAUGUCUGGGAAACUGCCCGAUGGAGGGGGAUAACUACUGGAAACGGUAGCUAAUACCGCAUAACGUCUUCGGACCAAAGUGGGGGACCUUCGGGCCUCACACCAUCGGAUGUGCCCAGAUGGGAUUAGCUAGUAGGUGGGGUAAUGGCUCACCUAGGCGACGAUCCCUAGCUGGUCUGAGAGGAUGAACAGCCACACUGGAACUGAGACACGGUCCAGACUCCUACGGGAGGCAGCAGUGGGGAAUAUUGCACAAUGGGCGCAAGCCUGAUGCAGACAUGCCGCGUGUAUGAAGAAGGCCUUCGGGUUGUAAAGUACUUUCAGCGGGGAGGAAGGCGUUAAGGUUAAUAACCUUGGCGAUUGACGUUACCCGCAGAAGAAGCACCGGCUAACUCCGUGCCAGCAGCCGCGGUAA